This 778-nucleotide ribosomal RNA is filed under the name uncultured bacterium. RNAcentral describes it as "bacterial SSU rRNA". It matches the Rfam family "Bacterial small subunit ribosomal RNA", at positions 8 to 796 of the family's 1533-position model. The record is from RNAcentral.
AGAGUUUGAUCCUGGCUCAGGGUUAACGCUGGCGGCGCGCCUAACACAUGCAAGUCGAGCGAGGGCUCUUCUCCCGCAAGGGAGGGGAGUUCCUAGCGGCGAACGGGUGAGUAACACGUGGGCAACCUGUCGUCUCGUGGGGGAUAACACCGGGAAACCGGUGCUAAUACCGCAUGUCAUCGCCGGUCGCAUGGCCGGUGAGAAAAGUAGCAAUGCGCGAGAUGGUGGGCCCGCGGCCUAUCAGCUAGUCGGUGGGGUAACGGCCUACCGAGGCUUUGACGGGUAGCUGGUCUGAGAGGACGACCAGCCACACGGGGACUGAGACACGGCCCCGACUCCUACGGGAGGCAGCAGUGAGGAAUCUUCCGCAAUGGGCGCAAGCCUGACGGAGCGACGCCGCGUGUGGGAUGAAGUCCUUCGGGAUGUAAACCACUGUCGGAGGGGAAGACAUCGACGGUACCCUCCAAGAAAGCCCCGGCUAACUACGUGCCAGCAGCCGCGGUAAUACGUAGGGGGCAAGCGUUACUCGGAUUCACUGGGCGUAAAGAGCGUGUAGGCGGCUGGUCAAGCGUGAUGUGAAAUCUCCGGGCUCAACCCGGAAACUGCAUCGCGAACUGACCUGGCUGGAGUGCAGGAGAGGGCGGCGGAAUUCCCGGUGUAGCGGUGAAAUGCGUAGAUAUCGGGAGGAACACCAGUGGCGAAGCGGCCGCCUGGCCUGUAACUGACGCUGAGACGCGAAAGCGUGGGGAGCGAACCGGAUUAGAUACCCGGGUAGUCC